AAAUUGAAGAGUUUGAUCAUGGCUCAGAUUGAACGCUGGCGGCAGGCCUAACACAUGCAAGUCGAACGGUAACAGAAAGCAGCUUGCUGCUUUGCUGACGAGUGGCGGACGGGUGAGUAAUGUCUGGGAAACUGCCCGAUGGAGGGGGAUAACUACUGGAAACGGUAGCUAAUACCGCAUAACGUCGCAAGACCAAAGAGGGGGACCUUAGGGCCUCUUGCCAUCGGAUGUGCCCAGAUGGGAUUAGCUAGUAGGUGGGGUAAAGGCUCACCUAGGCGACGAUCC
RNAcentral lists this ribosomal RNA (285 nucleotides) under Escherichia coli. Its description in RNAcentral is "partial 16S ribosomal RNA". It matches the Rfam family "Bacterial small subunit ribosomal RNA", at positions 1 to 282 of the family's 1533-position model. Lineage: Bacteria; Pseudomonadati; Pseudomonadota; Gammaproteobacteria; Enterobacterales; Enterobacteriaceae. The record is from RNAcentral.